GAUGAACGCUGGCGGCGUGCUUAACACAUGCAAGUCGAACGGGGGCGCAUAAGGAAGUAUGCUUGCAUAUGGAAUUAUGCGCCCAAGUGGCGGACGGGUGAGUAACGCGUGGGUAACCUGCCCCAUACCGGGGGAUACCAUCUGGAAACAGGUGCUAAUACCGCAUAAGCGCACGGUGCCGCAUGGCACAGUGUGAAAAAUUCCGGUGGUAUGGGAUGGGCCCGCGUCUGAUUAGCCAGUUGGCGGGGUAACGGCCCACCAAAGCGACGAUCAGUAGCCGGCCUGAGAGGGUGGACGGCCACAUUGGGACUGAGACACGGCCCAA
RNAcentral lists this ribosomal RNA (325 nucleotides) under uncultured bacterium. Its description in RNAcentral is "bacterial SSU rRNA". It matches the Rfam family "Bacterial small subunit ribosomal RNA", at positions 28 to 334 of the family's 1533-position model. The record is from RNAcentral.